RNAcentral lists this ribosomal RNA (406 nucleotides) under uncultured bacterium. Its description in RNAcentral is "partial 16S ribosomal RNA". It matches the Rfam family "Bacterial small subunit ribosomal RNA", at positions 29 to 526 of the family's 1533-position model. The record is from RNAcentral.
AUUGAACGCUGGCGGCAGGCCUAACACAUGCAAGUCGAACGAGUGGCGGACGGGUGAGUAAUGUCUGUGAAACUGCCUGAUGGAGGGGGAUAACUACUGGAAACGGUAGCUAAUACAGCAUACCAUCGGAUGUGCCCAGAUGGGAUUAGCUAGUAGGUGGGGUAACGGCUCACCUAGGCGACGAUCCCUAGCUGGUCUGAGAGGAUGACCAGCCACACUAGAACUGAGACGCGGUCCAGACUCCUACGGGAGGCAGCAGGGGGGAAUAUGGCACAAUGGGAGCAAGCCUGAUGCAGCCAUGCCGCGUGGAUGAAGAAGGCCGUCGGGUUGUAAAGUACUUUAAGCGGGGAGGCGUUACCCGCAGAAGAAGCACCGGCUAACUCCGUGCCAGCAGCCGCGGUAAUAC